Molecule: ribosomal RNA, 115 nt
Filed under: Taurinivorans muris
Lineage: Bacteria; Pseudomonadati; Thermodesulfobacteriota; Desulfovibrionia; Desulfovibrionales; Desulfovibrionaceae
Source: RNAcentral
UUUAGUGUCCAUAGAGAAGAGGGUAUACCCGACCCCAUUCCGAACUCGGAAGUCAAGCUCUUCUUCGCCGAUGAUACUGCAGUCUUUAUUGUGGGAAAGUAGGACGAUGCUAAAC